Molecule: long non-coding RNA, 1110 nt
Filed under: Phasianus colchicus (ring-necked pheasant)
Lineage: Eukaryota; Metazoa; Chordata; Aves; Galliformes; Phasianidae
Description: lncRNA (ENSPCLG00000002683.1)
Source: RNAcentral
CUGAUUUCAAUUAAUUCCUCUUUACCACAUUUUUUGAAUUUGCCUUUGCAUGCAAGAUUUAGUGAGCAGGCAAGUAUACUUAUAUUCAGUAAUACUGUUGUCAGAAGCAGAAAUAAUGAAUAGAUUAUCAUAUGUUUAACAGACGUUACAAGAGAAGAUCUCCCAAGCAACUCAUCUGCAUAUUAAAGUGUUUCUGAGUUUAAGGGAAUCAGAAUCAUAGAUCUUCUAAAUUGAAAGGGACCCUUAAAAAGCUGUCUGGUCCAACUCCCUUGCAAUGGACAGGGAGGGACACCUACAGCUAGAUCAGUUUGCUCAGAGCGCCAUGCAGCCUGACCUUGAAUCUUACAUGGGAAGGGGCAUCCACUACCCCUAAACUUUCUCCUGCUGAUUUCCAAUCUCUGAUAGAUGCAUCUCUUAGUUCUUUAAGUAGACUUGCAACAUUCUUUAGAAAUCUCCUGAAAUCUCUGGGCAGAUUCUUAUUCACCUUGGUGAACUUUGCAUUUAGUAAUUUGAACUUCCAAUUCUUCAUUUGACAAAAAAGUUUAUAAUAUAGUUUUAUAAAGACCGCCAGCUGACCACAUGGUUUUAUAUAUUCUAUAAUUUGGUGGGCAAACUGUGGAUUUUAAAUUUCCUAGUGCCAAAAGUAAAUCUGAAAAGGCUAAAAAAUAUUCAAACCAUCAGAAAGCUCCAAAUUAAUAUAAAUUACAUGCCACAGAAUAGUGUGUGAAUAAGCAGAUGCUGUAGAGGAUAGUUCCAGUGGACUGCUUAUUAAAGAAUAAAUAAUGGCAUCUAAAAGCAAUGCAGCUCAAUGACACAGGUCAUUGACUUGGACUUCUCUGCUGGGAAUGAUUAAAGUGGCAUUUAGCUCUACUGGUUGACUCGCUAGGGUGCUGAAAAACAUCACAUCAAUACAAAUCUGCUUAGCUGCUCGCAGGAAAAUGACGUCAUGGAAACAUAAAGUGAAGGAUGAGGAUGGAAAAGAGGAAAGCAUACUUGAAGAGAAUGUGUGGUCCCCUGUGACACGACUAUCAUCCUCACCUUUCUUGUGUUCAGAAGUGUGAGACUGGAAUUCAUCUGCCUGUAAGUAAAUACUGGCUAUUAGUCUUAGAG